AGUAAAGUCAGCUAAUAAAGCUAUCGGGCCCAUACCCCGAAAAUGUUGGUCUAAGACCCCUCCUCUACUA
This 70-nucleotide transfer RNA is filed under the name Gekko swinhonis (Peking gecko). RNAcentral describes it as "tRNA-Met". Lineage: Eukaryota; Metazoa; Chordata; Lepidosauria; Squamata; Gekkonidae. The record is from RNAcentral.